RNAcentral lists this ribosomal RNA (474 nucleotides) under uncultured bacterium. RNAcentral's name for it is "bacterial SSU rRNA". It matches the Rfam family "Bacterial small subunit ribosomal RNA", at positions 28 to 486 of the family's 1533-position model. The record is from RNAcentral.
GACGAACGCUGGCGGCGUGCCUAAUACAUGCAAGUCGAGCGGAACCUUUGGAGCUUGCUCCAUUGGUUUAGCGGCGGACGGGUGAGUAACACGUGGGCAACCUGCCCUGCAGAUCGGGAUAACUCCGGGAAACCGGUGCUAAUACCGAAUAGUUUGCGGCCUCUCCUGAGGCUGCACGGAAAGACGGUUUCGGCUGUCACUGCAGGAUGGGCCCGCGGCGCAUUAGCUAGUUGGUGGGGUAAUGGCCCACCAAGGCGACGAUGCGUAGCCGGCCUGAGAGGGUGAUCGGCCACACUGGGACUGAGACACGGCCCAGACUCCUACGGGAGGCAGCAGUAGGGAAUCUUCCGCAAUGGACGCAAGUCUGACGGAGCAACGCCGCGUGAGUGACGAAGGUUUUCGGAUCGUAAAACUCUGUUGUGAGGGGAGAACACGUACCAGGUAACUACUGGUACCUUGACGGUACCUCACCAG